CCAAUGUGCAUUAUGAACACGUUUUGAAUAACAAACAUUUAAAAAAUAAAGUAGAAAAAGGUGAACAAUCUAAAAAAAACACAUGCGAUAUCGAAUUGUGUGAAAAUAAUAAUAAAGUAAAGUUUAACCAUGAAUCUCAUGCUGUAAAAAAUAACAUACUUAAGAUAAAUAGUAAUAAACCUAAAAAUAAUAUUUGUAGUAACCAAAGUAAUACAAGCGUAAAAUCAAUAAUGAGUAGUAGUAUAAUAUUUAGUAAUUCUUUAAAUUAUAAUGGAAAUGAUUAUUUAACAUUUAAUGAUGAUGUGUUUAUAUUUAUAGAUGAUUACUCAAAAAAGGAUUCAAAUAAGUAUAAAAAAAAUGAACAUAAUUAUAAUGACAUAACACUAGAAAACAUGAAUUGUUUAAAAUAUGAUGAUAGCACACCAAUAAAAUAUAAUAAUAUAGAUGAUAUGAUAAUACACAUAAAAAAAUACAUUCAAAAUAAUAAUUCAUAUUUCGCUUGUAAACAUAUAGAAAUUAAUAAUUUAUGUAACUUAAAUAACAAAAACAAUAAAUAUGACAACUUAAAUAUUUACAUGUAUGAUAAUAACACAUCCGAUUUUUCUAUGGGUGACUGUCUAAUAACCCCUAAUAAGGAAGAAAAUGACUUAUGUAGUUCAUCCAAUUUAACAAACAUAAAUUUCAUUAAUAGUAAUGAUAAAAAACAAAAAAAUAAUGAAGCGAGUGAAAGCAAUAAACAAAAUUGUGAAAGUAGUACUCGAAAAAAUAAAAUGCAUAUUGAAACGGACAACGAUGAAACAUCGAACUAUGAUAUUGUUAUAUAUCACGACGAAAAGAAUAAUUAUUGUGAAAAUGAAAUAAGUGAAGAUUAUAAUAAGGAUUUUUCAAAAAAACAGAAGCUUAUAAAAACCAAGAAAUCCACAGAGCCAUUAAAUAAAAAAAAACAAAUACUAACGUUAAUUGAUGAAUUGAAAGAAAAAUUAGCAAAGAGAGGAGAUUAUUAUUAUGAAAGUGAUGAAAAUAAAAAAAACAAAACAGCUGAUGAUGUAUUUAGACCUAAGCAAAAAAAAAAUAUAAUUACUAGAGGCCAUAAUGAAUACUCAACAAAUGAUAAUACUAAUAACAAUAAUUAUUCUGAAGAAAUAAUAGUAAAAAAAGAAGUUCAUAUAAAAAAUAAAAUGCUAAAUAGCCAUGGAAAAAAAAAUCUAAAUAAAAAAAAAAAAAAAACUAAUAAUGCCAACAGUAAUGAAUUUGAAAGAAAACAUACAAGUGUAAAUUUACACUUAGUUGCCCCCGAGGCAAGCUUACAAAAAACAAAAGCAUUUAGACGUAAAGAAAAAAAAUGUUACGAUAGUUACAAAGAAAAAAAUGCCUCUAACGAAAAAUAUAGUAAUUUAAAAGAAAAAGCUAACAUUUGUGUGAAUGGAAAUAAUCAAAGUAACAUAAAUAAACGUAAUUUAAAAAACGAAGUUAUAGAAUUUAAGGACAAUGAUAAUUUAAAAAAUUAUAAUGUACAAAUAAAAACUUUUAACAUCGAUGAAAAUGAAAAAAAUAGAAAUUUAAAGUUGUUAGAACUAAUUAAAAAUGAUAAAUUUACGGUAGAGAAUAUUAAAAAUGAAACUAAUAUAAAAUGUAUUUUUAAUAGAGAAAAUAGUGAUAAAAUAUUUGAAAAAAAAAAAAGUUCAGGUCUUGUUCAUAAUGACAUAUUGAGAAUAAAUAAUUUGGGUCAGUUAGAAAACGAAAAUAAAGAAAAAAAUGAGCACAUAAUUGAGGAUGAUAAUAAUAAUAAUAAUAGUAAUUCAUUUAAUUUGGAAAAUGUUCAUAAGAAAAGCACAAAUAUACUCAACAUUAAUAAUUACAGCUCAGCUAAAACUUCAUGUAAAACGGAAAGUGAAAAAGGUAACAAAAUCCAUAAAAAACAAAUGACGGUUAGUGAUGACAAUAUUAAUGAAAUUAAUGAUACCACCAUAUAUAAUAGAAUUACUAAUAUUAAUGGUAGUACUGUUGCAAGAAGUUAUAAAUAUAAUUCUUUAUUUAAAAGUUGUAAGCUAGGAUUAAAAGAUUGUGGGUAUACUCAAAUAAAAAACAAAUUUAAAGAAACGAGCUAUAACGGAAUUAAUGAAAAUGAUUACUACACAAAUGAAAGUAAUUAUAUGCUUAAAUCUAAGAACAAAGAAAGUAAGUCGUUAAACACUUGUGAUGAUGGAGUAUUAACAUGUCCUGGUGAUAAAAUAAAAUUAGGAAUUGGUUUAGAUAAAGAUAAUUUAAUUAGAAGAAACAAAAGUAAUGCUCAUAAAUUAAAAAACAUAAUACACAUUCAUAAGAACAAGGGAGCUAGCAAUGAAUCACAUAUCAACUGUGGCGAUCAAAAAGGAACCGACCAUACUAGGUACAUCAAACACUUAACUAAUAAAAUGUCCCCAAAUAGUGAAAUUUCAAUUUGCGUUAAAACAGAAGAGAAAAAAGAAGACAAAAACGAAGAAACAAAUAGAAUUGGGUGCAGAAAAGAAAAGUUAAGUAAAGAAGUGAAAAAAAAGUUAAUCAGUAUUUUAAAUGCAUCUACUAAUCCUAAUAAAAUAAAUAUACACAAUAAAAUAUACACGUCUGAUACAAAAAAUAACUAUUCGGAUAAUAAUAAGAUAAUAUAUUUUAAUAAUAAUUAUUACUUUAAUGUUGACAAAGAUAACUCUUUUGCUAAAUGUGAUAAAAAUGUUACACAUAAUUUAAUGAAUAAUAUUACUGGAGAGCUUAAUUUAUAUUUAAAUACAAAUAAAAAGGAUUUGUCCUGUUUUAAAUAUACGAACUCUGUUUUAUCAAACAAUUGUAAUUUGUCUAAAGAAAGUGUUAUUAGUCGUGAUUUAGAACUUACGCAUUUGGAUGAGAGAAUUGAUAAGUUAAAUGAAUUAAAACAUAAGUACACAUUAAAAAAAUAUGUAAAUGACACUUUGUAUAAAAACAAAAUGCAUACAAUUAGUGAUGAAAUUAGAAAUAUAUCAAAUAUUAACUUACUUGAACUGAAUUAUAAAAAUAAGAAUAGUAUAUAUGAAAAUAAAAAUUCAAAAAGUGAGAAUAAAAUUAAAAUAACAGAAUAUUGUAGACAUGAUUUAUACAAAAACAAAGGGAUAAAUAGAAAAUUAAAAAGUGUUGAUGAAAAUAAUAUAUUAUGCCAUGCACCCAAAUCACCUAAAAAACAGGAAAAAAUACCUAAACCAUUAGCUAGUCAAUUAGAAGUUAAUUCACUGUCAUAUUUAAAAAAAACACCAUCCUAUCCAUUUGAGGAAUUAUAUUUGUAAAUAUUUUUUCUACUUAUUAAGUAAAGGUUAAUAGAAAAAAAUUAUAACUAUUUAAAUUUUUUUGUUAAUGUUCUUUUUUUUUUUUUUUUUUCUGAUUUUUUGUCUCACAAAAUUGUGAUUUUGUACAUAUUUUUUUAGUUUAUCUAGUCUUUUAAAAAAUUAUACUUAAAAUAAAACAAUAAUUAAAAAUAUUCA
This 3488-nucleotide long non-coding RNA is filed under the name Piliocolobus tephrosceles (Ugandan red Colobus). Its description in RNAcentral is "lncRNA (ENSPTEG00000010456.1)". Lineage: Eukaryota; Metazoa; Chordata; Mammalia; Primates; Cercopithecidae. The record is from RNAcentral.